AACGAACGCUGGCGGCAUGCCUAACACAUGCAAGUCGAACGAAGCCUUCGGGCUUAGUGGCGCACGGGUGCGUAACACGUGGGAAUCUGCCCUUCGGUUCGGAAUAACAGUUAGAAAUGACUGCUAAUACCGGAUGAUGACGAAAGUCCAAAGAUUUAUCGCCGAAGGAUGAGCCCGCGUAGGAUUAGGUAGUUGGUAGGGUAAUGGCCUACCAAGCCGACGAUCCUUAGCUGGUCUGAGAGGAUGAUCAGCCAUACUGGGACUGAGACACGGCCCAGACUCCUACGGGAGGCAGCAGUGGGGAAUAUUGGACAAUGGGCGAAAGCCUGAUCCAGCAAUGCCGCGUGAGUGAUGAAGGCCUUAGGGUUGUAAAGCUCUUUUACCAGGGAUGAUAAUGACAGUACCUGGAGAAUAAGCUCGGCUAACUCCGUG
This 432-nucleotide ribosomal RNA is filed under the name uncultured bacterium. Its description in RNAcentral is "bacterial SSU rRNA". It matches the Rfam family "Bacterial small subunit ribosomal RNA", at positions 29 to 507 of the family's 1533-position model. The record is from RNAcentral.